AACUGGUGGCGACCGGCGCACGGGUGAGUAACGCGUAUGCAACCUACCUAUCAGAGGGGAAGUAACCCGGACGAAAGUCGGACUAAUACCGCAUAAAACAGGGGCACCGCAUGGUGAUAUUUGUUAAAGAAAUUCGCUGAUAGAUGGGCAUGCGUUCCAUUAGGUAGUUGGUGAGGUAACGGCUCACCAAGCCGACGAUGGAUAGGGGAACUGAGAGGUUGGUCCCCCACACUGGUACUGAGACACGGACCAGACUCCUACGGGAGGCAGCAGUGAGGAAUAUUGGUCAAUGGGCGGGAGCCUGAACCAGCCAAGUCGCGUGAAGGGAAAAGAAGGAUCUAUGGUUCGUAAACUUCUUUUGCAGGGGAAUAAAGUGCAGGACGUGUCCUGUUUUGUAUGUACCCUGAGAAUAAGGAUCGGCUAACUCCGUGCCAGCAGCUGC
This 442-nucleotide ribosomal RNA is filed under the name uncultured bacterium. RNAcentral's name for it is "bacterial SSU rRNA". It matches the Rfam family "Bacterial small subunit ribosomal RNA", at positions 83 to 518 of the family's 1533-position model. The record is from RNAcentral.